This 21-nucleotide unclassified non-coding RNA is filed under the name Dictyostelium discoideum. The record is from RNAcentral. Lineage: Eukaryota; Evosea; Eumycetozoa; Dictyosteliales; Dictyosteliaceae.
UCUGACUUGACCUCUUGAGGA